UACGAAGGGGGCUAGCGUUGUUCGGAUUUACUGGGCGUAAAGCGCACGUAGGCGGAUCGAUCAGUCAGGGGUGAAAUCCCAGAGCUCAACUCUGGAACUGCCUUUGAUACUGUCGAUCUGGAGUAUGGAAGAGGUGAGUGGAAUUCCGAGUGUAGAGGUGAAAUUCGUAGAUAUUCGGAGGAACACCAGUGGCGAAGGCGGCUCACUGGUCCAUUACUGACCGCUUGAGGGUGCGAAAGCG
This 241-nucleotide ribosomal RNA is filed under the name uncultured bacterium. RNAcentral's name for it is "partial 16S ribosomal RNA". It matches the Rfam family "Bacterial small subunit ribosomal RNA", at positions 524 to 761 of the family's 1533-position model. The record is from RNAcentral.